CUACGGGCGGCUGCAGUGAGGAAUAUUGCACAAUGGGGGGAACCCUGAUGCAGCAACGCCGCGUGGAGGAUGACGCAUUUCGGUGUGUAAACUCCUUUUAUAUGUCAAGAAAAUGACGGUAGCAUAUGAAUAAGCACCGGCUAACUCCGUGCCAGCAGCCGCGGUAAUACGGAGGGUGCAAGCGUUACUCGGAAUCACUGGGCGUAAAGGACGCGUAGGCGGGCUUGUAAGUCAGGUGUGAAAUCCUACAGCUUAACUGUAGAACUGCACUUGAAACUACGAGCCUAGAGUAUGGGAGGGGCAGAUGGAAUUAGUGGUGUAGGGGUAAAAUCCGUAGAUAUCACUAGGAAUACCUAAAGCGAAGGCGAUCUGCUGGAACAUAGCUGACGCUAAGGCGUGAAAGCGUGGGGAGCAAACAGGAUUAGAUACCCGCGUAGUC
Molecule: ribosomal RNA, 439 nt
Filed under: uncultured bacterium
Lineage: Bacteria
Description: partial 16S ribosomal RNA
Rfam family: Bacterial small subunit ribosomal RNA
Source: RNAcentral